This 301-nucleotide ribosomal RNA is filed under the name uncultured bacterium. RNAcentral's name for it is "partial 16S ribosomal RNA". It matches the Rfam family "Bacterial small subunit ribosomal RNA", at positions 509 to 807 of the family's 1533-position model. The record is from RNAcentral.
CAGUCGCCACGGGAAUACAGAGGGUGCAAGCGUUAAUCGGAAUUACUGGGCGUAAAGCGCGCGUAGGUGGUUUGUUAAGUUGGAUGUGAAAGCCUCGGGCUCAACCUGGGAACUGCAUCCAAAACUGGCAAGCUAGAGUACGGUAGAGGGUGGUGGAAUUUCCUGUGUAGCGGUGAAAUGCGUAGAUAUAGGAAGGAACACCAGUGGCGAAGGCGACCACCUGGACUGAUACUGACACUGAGGUGCGAAAGCGUGGGGAGCAAACAGGAUUAGAUACCCCUGUAGUCCCUGUCUCUUAUAC